This is a non-coding RNA of Pelobates cultripes (western spadefoot toad), 206 nucleotides long. The record is from the annotation of a GenBank genome assembly. NCBI's taxonomy places the organism in Eukaryota, Metazoa, Chordata, Amphibia, Anura, Pelobatidae.
CUCAAUUCCACAUAGGAAAGCAUUGAAAAGCAUUUUCAAUGCUUUUCUAUGAGGAGCUCUAAUGCGCAUGCGCGGCAUUGCUGUGCAUGCGCAUUACGUCUCCCCGGCCGGUGGGCAGGAUCAGUCUCGCCCACCGGCCAAUGUAAUGCAGAGGAGGAGCGGCAGCGGAGGAAGAAGCAGCGACGUGGGACAUGUCGCUGCCUCUG